UGGAGGGCAAGUCUGGUGCCAGCAGCCGCGGUAAUUCCAGCUCCAAUAGCGUAUAUUAAAGUUGUUGCAGUUAAAAAGCUCGUAGUUGAAUUUCGGGGUCAGUAGGUUGGUCAUGCCACUGGUAUGUACUGGCCUCACUGAUUCCUCCUUCCUGAUGAGCCGUAAUGCCAUUAAUUUGGUGUUGCGAGGAAUCUGGACUGUUACUUUGAAAAAAUUAGAGUGUUUAAAGCAGGCUAACGCUUGAAUACAUUAGCAUGGAAUAAUGAAAUAGGACGUUCGAUCUUAUUUUGUUGGUUUCUAAGAUUGACGUAAUGAUUAAUAGGGAUAGUUGGGGGCAUUAGUAUUCAAUUGUCAGAGGUGAAAUUCUUGGAUUUAUUGAAGACUAACUACUGCGAAAGCAUUUGCCAAGGAUGUUUUCAUUAAUCAAGAACGAAAGUUAGGGGAUCGAAGACGAUCAGAUACCGUCGUAGUCUUAACCAUAACUAUGCCGACUAGGGAUCGGAUGAUGUUAAUUUUUUAAUGACUCAUUCGGCGCCUUACGGGAAAC
RNAcentral lists this ribosomal RNA (547 nucleotides) under uncultured Glomus. RNAcentral's name for it is "SSU rRNA". It matches the Rfam family "Eukaryotic small subunit ribosomal RNA", at positions 549 to 1098 of the family's 1831-position model. Lineage: Eukaryota; Fungi; Glomeromycota; Glomeromycetes; Glomerales; Glomeraceae. The record is from RNAcentral.